RNAcentral lists this transfer RNA (73 nucleotides) under Methanomicrobia archaeon. Its description in RNAcentral is "tRNA-Arg". It matches the Rfam family "tRNA". Rfam says of the family: Transfer RNA (tRNA) molecules are approximately 80 nucleotides in length. Their secondary structure includes four short double-helical elements and three loops (D, anti-codon, and T loops). The record is from RNAcentral. RNAcentral also lists the same sequence under 1 other name. Lineage: Archaea; Methanobacteriati; Methanobacteriota; Methanomicrobia.
GGGCCCGUAGCCUAGGGGAUAGGGCAACAGCCUCCUAAGCUGUGGAUCGCGGGUUCGAAUCCCGCCGGGCCCG